GGCGGCGUGCUAAUACAUGCAAGUCGAACGCUUCUUUUUCCACCGGAGCUUGCUCCACCGGAAAAAGAGGAGUGGCGAACGGGUGAGUAACACGUGGGUAACCUGCCCAUCAGAAGGGGAUAACACUUGGAAACAGGUGCUAAUACCGUAUAACAAUCGAAACCGCAUGGUUUUGAUUUGAAAGGCGCUUUCGGGUGUCGCUGAUGGAUGGACCCGCGGUGCAUUAGCUAGUUGGUGAGGUAACGGCUCACCAAGGCGACGAUGCAUAGCCGACCUGAGAGGGUGAUCGGCCACAUUGGGACUGAGACACGGCCCAAACUCCUACGGGAGGCAGCAGUAGGGAAUCUUCGGCAAUGGACGAAAGUCUGACCGAGCAACGCCGCGUGAGUGAAGAAGGUUUUCGGAUCGUAAAACUCUGUUGUUAGAGAAGAACAAGGAUGAGAGUAACUGUUCAUCCCUUGACGGUAUCUAACCAGAAAGCCACGGCUAACUACGUGCCAGCAGCCGCGGUAAUACGUAGGUGGCAAGCGUUGUCCGGAUUUAUUGGGCGUAAAGCGAGCGCAGGCGGUUUCUUAAGUCUGAUGUGAAAGCCCCCGGCUCAACCGGGGAGGGUCAUUGGAAACUGGGAGACUUGAGUGCAGAAGAGGAGAGUGGAAUUCCAUGUGUAGCGGUGAAAUGCGUAGAUAUAUGGAGGAACACCAGUGGCGAAGGCGGCUCUCUGGUCUGUAACUGACGCUGAGGCUCGAAAGCGUGGGGAGCAAACAGGAUUAGAUACCCUGGUAGUCCACGCCGUAAACGAUGAGUGCUAAGUGUUGGAGGGUUUCCGCCCUUCAGUGCUGCAGCUAACGCAUUAAGCACUCCGCCUGGGGAGUACGACCGCAAGGUUGAAACUCAAAGGAAUUGACGGGGGCCCGCACAAGCGGUGGAGCAUGUGGUUUAAUUCGAAGCAACGCGAAGAACCUUACCAGGUCUUGACAUCCUUUGACCACUCUAGAGAUAGAGCUUCCCCUUCGGGGGCAAAGUGACAGGUGGUGCAUGGUUGUCGUCAGCUCGUGUCGUGAGAUGUUGGGUUAAGUCCCGCAACGAGCGCAACCCUUAUUGUUAGUUGCCAUCAUUUAGUUGGGCACUCUAGCAAGACUGCCGGUGACAAACCGGAGGAAGGUGGGGAUGACGUCAAAUCAUCAUGCCCCUUAUGACCUGGGCUACACACGUGCU
This 1215-nucleotide ribosomal RNA is filed under the name Enterococcus sp. Its description in RNAcentral is "bacterial SSU rRNA". It matches the Rfam family "Bacterial small subunit ribosomal RNA", at positions 38 to 1226 of the family's 1533-position model. The record is from RNAcentral. Lineage: Bacteria; Bacillati; Bacillota; Bacilli; Lactobacillales; Enterococcaceae.